GUGAGGAAUUUUCCGCAAUGGGCGAAAGCCUGACGGAGCAAUGCCGCGUGAAGGAUGAAGGCCUAUGGGUUGUAAACUUCUUUUCUCAGAAAAGAAUUAUGACGGUAUCUGAGGAAUAAGCAUCGGCUAACUCUGUGCCAGCAGCCGCGGUAAGACAGAGGAUGCAAGCGUUAUCCGGAAUGAUUGGGCGUAAAGCGUCUGUAGGUUGUUUAAAAAGUAUUCUGUCAAAGAUUAGGGCUUAACCCUAGAUAGGCAGAAUAAACUUUUAAGAUAGAGUUUGGUAGAGGCAAGGGGAAUUCCCGGUGGAGCGGUGAAAUGCGUAGAUAUCGGGAGGAACACCAAAGGCGAAGGCACUCUGCUGGGCCAAUACUAACACUGAGAGACGAAAGCGAGGAGAGCAAAUGGGAUUAGAAACCCCUGUAGUCC
This 426-nucleotide ribosomal RNA is filed under the name uncultured bacterium. RNAcentral describes it as "partial 16S ribosomal RNA". It matches the Rfam family "Bacterial small subunit ribosomal RNA", at positions 354 to 796 of the family's 1533-position model. The record is from RNAcentral.